CAUAUGGUUUUUCUUAAAACCAUAUAUAGUCUUGGAAAAUUAAAU
Non-coding RNA from Helianthus annuus (common sunflower), 45 nucleotides. NCBI's taxonomy places the organism in Eukaryota, Viridiplantae, Streptophyta, Magnoliopsida, Asterales, Asteraceae. The record is from Rfam.